UUCAGGUCCCAAACCACUACCUGCUUUGCCACUCAUAUCCUCUUUUGUCUUUAGCUGAAGAUGGUAAGGUGAAGGCUUCCGCCAUCUUGAUUAAAACUCUGUGGCAGCCCUGCACUGAGCCAGUGUAUCAGCACCCUUUUUUUGGCAUUGUUUUCUUACUUCAUGUUUCUGUGCCAUAUUUUGGUAAUUCACACAAUGUUUCAAACUCUCCACCAGCAUAAAGAUUAUGACUUGAUGAAGGCUCAGAUGGUGGUUAGCAUUUUUUAGGAGUGAAACAUUUUUAAUAAAGUAUAUACAUGUGGUUUUAGACAUACCAUUGCACACUUGUAGACUGCAGUAUAGUGUGAACAUUGUUUUAUAUGUACUGGGAAACCAAAAAAUUGUGUAAUUUCUUUUAUAGUGAUAUUGGCUUCAUUGUGAUGGUCUUGAACCGAACUCACAAUAUCUCCAAGGUGUACCUGUAAUGGCACAAAAUUGUAGACUGUCAGGUAGUAAUCUAAUGAAUAAAUCCCUUUGAGUUCUGGAGUAGUUAGAUGUGAUGCCUUAUUUCCAACUCACUGCUCCUUUGGAUUUGAAAAAUGAAUAGGAGAAGAAAUUAGAGUAUGUGA
Molecule: long non-coding RNA, 608 nt
Organism: Bubalus bubalis (water buffalo)
Lineage: Eukaryota; Metazoa; Chordata; Mammalia; Artiodactyla; Bovidae
Exons: 2
Source: RefSeq, a predicted model, not a curated record